RNAcentral lists this ribosomal RNA (253 nucleotides) under uncultured bacterium. RNAcentral describes it as "partial 16S ribosomal RNA". It matches the Rfam family "Bacterial small subunit ribosomal RNA", at positions 524 to 776 of the family's 1533-position model. The record is from RNAcentral.
UACGGAAGGGGCUAGCGUUGUUCGGAAUUACUGGGCGUAAAGAGCGCGUAGGCGGCUUACCAAGUUGGGGGUGAAAUCCCGGGGCUUAACUCCGGAACUGCGUUCAAAACUGGUAGGCUCGAGUCCGGAAGAGGUGCGUGGAAUUCCCAGUGUAGAGGUGAAAUUCGUAGAUAUUGGGAAGAACACCGGUGGCGAAGGCGGCGCCCUGGUCCGGUACUGACGCUGAGGCGCGAAAGCGUGGGGAGCAAACAGG